Molecule: long non-coding RNA, 625 nt
Organism: Aegilops tauschii subsp. strangulata
Lineage: Eukaryota; Viridiplantae; Streptophyta; Magnoliopsida; Poales; Poaceae
Source: RefSeq, a predicted model, not a curated record
GCCCAGAAAGCCCAAUGCCUAUUGACCUAGAUCUUGUUCAGUCAUUCCUAAUUCCUAUAGGCUACUGUACGCGCACGCCGCACGAUGCUUCCUCUCCCUCUCAUCGCCUCCUCUCAGUCCUGCAGAUCCCUAAUCCCCAAAUGCGAUCAUUGCCGGUAGAACUGCACAGUGAUUCAGCGGCAAGCCGGCGAAUCGAUGGAACUUUGGUUUGAUCUGGUGAUUCUGGCCGGCCGAUAGUUGCGACAUAAUCUUGUGCUAAUCCACCAAGUCCAGGUCGGCUCUUCCAAGGAGGUUAUGGACAUAUUUUUGGUGAAACGGCCACUACCAUCUGCAGGAGGGACUUCAAGGCUUAGACGACAAGAUCGUGUAUCAAGCUUCAGCUUUCUGCGGCAAUGAUGAAUCAGAGGACUCCAAAAAUAAGGGGACUUUUUUGAUAGUUGGUACAAAAAUUAGCAAACCAGAAUGAGGAUGUAAGCAAGGUCGUCUUUUAGGAUGCUCCAAAAAAAUUGCAAAUGGGUGCCUCCAUAUAUUCAAAAAUAAAUUGCGAGUUAUUUUGCAAAGAUAACUAACAAGCUUCACUAUUGUGUAUUCAUUUCAUACAAUUUAUCUCUUCAAGUACUCAAAA